Cryptosporangium aurantiacum is the source of this 63-nucleotide regulatory RNA element. It matches the Rfam family "Actino-pnp RNA". Lineage: Bacteria; Bacillati; Actinomycetota; Actinomycetes; Cryptosporangiales; Cryptosporangiaceae. The record is from Rfam.
GCCGGUCCUCGGUAGUACGCACUUGUGACGUUCGGUCACAAGUGGGUUCGAUCGAAGACCGGC